UGGGGAAUUUUGCACAAUGGGGGAAACCCUGAUGCAGCGACGCCGCGUGAUUUAGAAGGCCUUCGGGUUGUAAAAAUCUUUUUUAUGGGAUGAAAAUGACAGUACCAUAAGAAUAAGGUCCGGCUAAAUACGUGCCAGCAGCCGCGGUAAUACGUAUGGACCGAGCGUUGUCCGGAAUCAUUGGGCGUAAAGGGUACGUAGGCGGCCCAGUAAGUUAGAAGUGAAAUAAUAUAGCUCAACUAUAUAAAGCUUUUAAAACUGCUAGGCUUGAGGGAUGGAAGGGAAAGUGGAAUUCCUAGUGUAGCGGUGAAAUGCGCAGAGAUAUGGAGGAACACCAGUGGCGAAGGCGACUUUCUGGUCUGUAACUGACGCUGAUGUGCGAAAGCGUGGGAAUCAAACAGG
Molecule: ribosomal RNA, 402 nt
Filed under: Bacteroidota bacterium
Lineage: Bacteria; Pseudomonadati; Bacteroidota
Description: Bacteroidetes bacterium partial 16S ribosomal RNA
Rfam family: Bacterial small subunit ribosomal RNA
Source: RNAcentral